Sapajus apella (tufted capuchin) is the source of this 551-nucleotide long non-coding RNA. RefSeq lists it as uncharacterized. NCBI's taxonomy places the organism in Eukaryota, Metazoa, Chordata, Mammalia, Primates, Cebidae. The transcript is spliced from 3 exons. The record is from RefSeq and is a predicted model, not a curated record.
CACCCAAAACAACAGACACUCUUGGGAAAUAAACCUAAUACAGACUUUUAUCUAACAUCAGUUGUGGAAACCAUUUCACCAGGAGGUGACAUUUUGUAGUGCAACAUUGCUACAUCGGGACAUGUCACGUAGAAUGAGAAUUACAGAUCUGAAAAAAAGGAAGACAGAUGAGAAAAUGCUAAACACAGUAAAUGAAUAUUCCCAUGGAACAGAAGUAUGGUUACAAAAUAUUUGCAGAGAAUUUAUUCUUAAUAUUUAUUGAACAUUUUCUGCUUAACAGGAUAAAGAAUACUUAAACUCCUCUUUGAAUCUAGAAGGAAAUUGAGUGCCUCUCUGACAUUUCCUAGUGGAACAAUGAGAAGAGUCUGUAGCCUUUUCCUUCUGGACAUCUGCACAUGCGUCUGAAUGUAUACUGAAGAGCCAACUAUGCUAUGUAAUAUUAAUUACAGUGAGAUAGGGAGGGAAGUAUUUCUAAUGAUCCUCCAAAUAAGGCUUAGAAAUCCCAGUAACACUAACUAAAAAAUGCCUUUGGCAAUACACAUGUCAACAAA